CCUACGGGAGGCUGCAGUGAGGAAUAUUGGUCAAUGGGCGCAAGCCUGAACCAGCCAAGUAGCGUGAAGGAUGACUGCCCUACGGGUUGUAAACUUCUUUUAUAGGGGAAUAAAGUGAGGCACGUGUGCCUUUUUGUAUGUACUUUAUGAAUAAGGAUCGGCUAACUCCGUGCCAGCAGCCGCGGUAAUACGGAGGAUCCGAGCGUUAUCCGGAUUUAUUGGGUUUAAAGGGAGCGUAGAUGGGUUGUUAAGUCAGUUGUGAAAGUUUGCGGCUCAACCGUAAAAUUGCAAUUGAUACUGGAAGUCUUGAGUAUAGUUGAGGUAGGCGGAAUGCGUGGUGUAGCGGUGAAAUGCAUAGAUAUCACGAAGAACUCCGAUUGCGAAGGCAGCUUACUAAACCGUAACUGACACUGAUGCACGAAAGUGUGGGUAUCAAACAGGAUUAGAUACCCGAGUAGUC
Molecule: ribosomal RNA, 460 nt
Filed under: uncultured bacterium
Lineage: Bacteria
Description: partial 16S ribosomal RNA
Rfam family: Bacterial small subunit ribosomal RNA
Source: RNAcentral